GAUGAACGCUGGCGGCGUGCCUAAUACAUGCACGUCGAGCGAACGGACGAGAAGCUUGCUUCUCUGAUGUUAGCGGCGGACGGGUGAGUAACACGUGGAUAACCUACCUAUAAGACUGGGAUAACUUCGGGAAACCGGAGCUAAUACCGGAUGAUAUUUUGAACCGCAUGGUUCAAAAGUGAAAGACGGUCUUGCUGUCACUUAUAGAUGGAUCCGCGCUGCAUUAGCUAGUUGGUAAGGUAACGGCUUACCAAGGCAACGAUGCAUAGCCGACCUGAGAGGGUGAUCGGCCACACUGGAACUGAGACACGGUCCAGACUCCUACGGGAGGCAGCAGUAGGGAAUCUUCCGCAAUGGGCGAAAGCCUGACGGAGCAACGCCGCGUGAGUGAUGAAGGUCUUCGGAUCGUAAAACUCUGUUAUUAGGGAAGAACAUAUGUGUAAGUAACUGUGCACAUCUUGACGGUACCUAAUCAGAAAGCCACGGCUAACUACGUG
This 497-nucleotide ribosomal RNA is filed under the name uncultured bacterium. Its description in RNAcentral is "partial 16S ribosomal RNA". It matches the Rfam family "Bacterial small subunit ribosomal RNA", at positions 28 to 507 of the family's 1533-position model. The record is from RNAcentral.